CCUUCGAUAGCUCAGUUGGUAGAGCGGUGGACUGUAGAAAGUAUGAAAGUAUAGUAAUCCAUAGGUCACUGGUUCAAAUCCGGUUCGAAGGA
Molecule: transfer RNA, 92 nt
Filed under: Anopheles funestus (African malaria mosquito)
Lineage: Eukaryota; Metazoa; Arthropoda; Insecta; Diptera; Culicidae
Description: tRNA-Tyr for anticodon GUA
Rfam family: tRNA
About the family: Transfer RNA (tRNA) molecules are approximately 80 nucleotides in length. Their secondary structure includes four short double-helical elements and three loops (D, anti-codon, and T loops).
Source: RNAcentral